RNA transcript from Otolemur garnettii (small-eared galago), 1294 nucleotides. It is a transcript of the gene named 26S proteasome non-ATPase regulatory subunit 2 pseudogene, with no coding region annotated. The transcript has 2 exons. NCBI's taxonomy places the organism in Eukaryota, Metazoa, Chordata, Mammalia, Primates, Galagidae. The record is from RefSeq and is a predicted model, not a curated record.
AUGGCUCAGCAGGAGGAACAGACAGAAUGGGUGUGCCUAACGCUGCUGCUGCCUGUGAAGGGAGAUUCCAAGUCCAGCUUGGAGGUGGCAGGCGUGACAGCUCUAGCCUGUGGAAUGAUAGCAGUGGGAUCCUGCCACAGAAAUGUCACUUCUACUAUCCUUCAGACCAUCGUGGAAAAGUCAGAGACUGAGCUCAAGGACACUUAUGCUCGUUGGCUUCCUCUUGCACUGGGACUCAACCACCUGGAGAAGGGUGAGGCCAUUGAGGCAAUCCUGGCUGCACUGGAGGUUGUGUCAGAACCAUUCCACAGUUUUGCCAACGUGCUGGUGGAUGUGUGUGCCUCUGCAGGCUCCGGGGAGGUACUGAAAGUGCAGCAGUUACUCACAUUUGUAGUGAUCAUUUUGACUCCAAGGAAAAAGAAGAAGACAAAGAUAAGGAAAAGAAGGACAAGGACAAAAAGGAAGCCCCUGCUGACAAGGGAGCACAUCAGGGAGUGGCUGUUCUGGGGACUGCCCUUAUCGCUCUGGGAGAGGAGAUUGGUGCAGAGAUGGCACUAGGAACCUUUGGCCAUUUGCUGAGAUAUGGGGAGCCUACAUUCCAGAGGGCUGGACCUUCAGCCCUGGCACUAAUCUCUGUUUCAAAUCCAUGACUUAACAUCCUGGAUACCCUAAGUAAGUUCUCUCAUGAUGCUGAUCCAGAAGUUUCCUAUAAUUCCAUCUUUGCUAUGGGCAUGGUGGGCAGUGGUACCAAUAAUGCCCAUCUGGCUGCAAUGCUGCACCAGUUAGCUCAAUAUCAUGCUCAGGACCCCAACAAUCUGUUCGUGGUGUGCUUGGCACAGGGUCUGACACAUUUAGGGAAGGGCACACUUACCCUCUGUCCCUACCACAGUGACUGGCAGCUUAUGAGUUAGGUGGCGGUGGCUGGGCUGCUAACUGUGCUUGUCUCCUUCUUGGAUGUUUGAAAUAUCAUUCUAGGCAAAUCACGCUAUGUAUUGUAGGGGCUGGUUGCUGCCAUCAACCCCGAAUGUUGGUCACAUUUGAUGAAGAGCUGCGGCCACUGCUGGUGUCUAUCUGUGUGGGCCAGGCGGUGGAUCUGGUGGGCCAGGCAGGCAAGCGGAAGACUAACACAGGAUUCCAGACACGUAAACCCCAGUGUCAUUGGCCCAUGGGGAACGGGCAGAAUUGGCCACUGAGGAGUUUCUUCCUGUUACCCCCAUUCUGGAAGGUUUUUGUCAUCCUUUGGAAGAACCCCAACUAUGAUCUCUAUGUGGCCCUCCAGGGCCCUGAGCUAUAG